UACUGGGGCGUAAAGCGCUCGCAGGCGGUCAUUAAGUCAGAUGUGAAAGCCCCGAGCUUAACUUGGGAAUUGCAUCUGAAACUGGUUGGCUAGAGUCUUGUAGAGGGGGGUAGAAUUCCAUGUGUAGCGGUGAAAUGCGUAGAGAUGUGGAGGAAUACCGGUGGCGAAGGCGGCCCCCUGGACUAAGACUGACGCUCAGGUGCGAAAGCGUGGGGAGCAAACAGGAUUAGAUACCCUGGUAGUCCACGCUGUAAACGAUGUCGAUUUAGAGGUUGUGGUCUUGAACCGUGGCUUCUGGAGCUAACGCGUUAAAUCGACCGCCUGGGGAGUACGGCCGCAAGGUUAAAACUCAAAUGAAUUGACGGGGGCCCGCACAAGCGGUGGAGCAUGUGGUUUAAUUCGAUGCAACGCGAAGAACCUUACCUACUCUUGACAUCCAUCGAAUCCUUUAGAGAUAGAGGAGUGCCUUCGGGAACGCUGAGACAGGUGCUGCAUGGCUGUCGUCAGCUCGUGUUGUGAAAUGUUGGGGUUAAGUCCCGCAACGAGCGCAACCCUUAUCCUUUGUUGCCAGCACGUGAUGGUGGGAACUCAAAGGAGACUGCCGGUGAUAAACCGGAGGAAGGGGGGGGAUGACGUCAAGUCAUCAUGGCCCUUACGAGUAGGGCUACACACGUGCUACAAUGGCAKAUACAAAGAGAAGCGACCUCGCGAGAGCAAGCGGAACUCAUAGAGUCUGUCGUAGUCCCGGAUUGGAGUCUGCAACUCNACUCCAUGAAGUCGGAAUCGCUAGUAAUCGUACAUCACAAUGCUACGGUGAAUACGUUCCCGGGCCUUGUACACACCGCCCGUCACACCAUGGGGAGUGUGUUGCAUAAGAAGUAGGUAGCUUAACCUUCUGGACGGCGCUUACCACUUUGUGAUCAUGACUG
Molecule: ribosomal RNA, 929 nt
Filed under: Proteus mirabilis
Lineage: Bacteria; Pseudomonadati; Pseudomonadota; Gammaproteobacteria; Enterobacterales; Morganellaceae
Description: bacterial SSU rRNA
Source: RNAcentral